Molecule: ribosomal RNA, 502 nt
Filed under: uncultured Porphyromonadaceae bacterium
Lineage: Bacteria; Pseudomonadati; Bacteroidota; Bacteroidia; Bacteroidales; Porphyromonadaceae
Description: bacterial SSU rRNA
Rfam family: Bacterial small subunit ribosomal RNA
Source: RNAcentral
GAUGAACGCUAGCGAUAGGCUUAACACAUGCAAGUCGAGGGGUAGCAGGGAGUAGCAAUACUCUGCUGACGACCGGCGCACGGGUGAGUAACGCGUAUGCAACUUGCCCUAUACACGGGGAUAGCCCGUUGAAAGACGGAUUAAUACCCGAUAUUAUUAAUAGAUCGCCUGAUUUAUUAAUGAAAGAUUUAUCGGUAUAGGAUGGGCAUGCGUUCCAUUAGCUAGUUGGUAAGGUAACGGCUUACCAAGGCAACGAUGGAUAGGGGAACUGAGAGGUUUAUCCCCCACACUGGAACUAAGACACGGACCAGACUCCUACGGGAGGCAGCAGUGAGGAUAUUGGUCAAUGGACGAGAGUCUGAACCAGCCAAGUCGCGUGAAGGAUGACUGCCUUAUGGGUUGUAAACUUCUUUUAUAUAGGAAUAAAGUGAGAUACGUGUAUCUUUUUAGCAAGUACUAUAUGAAUAAGCAUCGGCUAACUCCGUGCCAGCCGCCGCGGUAA